RNAcentral lists this ribosomal RNA (472 nucleotides) under uncultured bacterium. Its description in RNAcentral is "partial 16S ribosomal RNA". It matches the Rfam family "Bacterial small subunit ribosomal RNA", at positions 30 to 507 of the family's 1533-position model. The record is from RNAcentral.
AGUGAACGCUGGCGGUAGGCCUAACACAUGCAAGUCGAACGGCAGCACAGUAAGAGCUUGCUCUUACGGGUGGCGAGUGGCGGACGGGUGAGGAAUACAUCGGAAUCUACUUUUUCGUGGGGGAUAACGUAGGGAAACUUACGCUAAUACCGCAUACGACCUACGGGUGAAAGCAGGGGAUCUUCGGACCUUGCGCGAUUGAAUGAGCCGAUGUCGGAUUAGCUAGUUGGCGGGGUAAAGGCCCACCAAGGCGACGAUCCGUAGCAGGUCUGAGAGGAUGAUGGGCAACAUGGGGACUGAGAUACGGCCCAGACUGCUGGGGGAGGCAGCAGUGGGGAAUAGUGAAGAAUGGGAGGAAGCAUGAUGCAGCAACGCCGAGGGCGGGAUGAAGGCCUGCGGGUGGUAAAAAGCUUGCGCCGGUGACGAAGCGGGAGGGACGGUAAUGGGUAAAGAAGCACCGGCUAACUACGUG